Molecule: ribosomal RNA, 253 nt
Filed under: uncultured bacterium
Lineage: Bacteria
Description: partial 16S ribosomal RNA
Rfam family: Bacterial small subunit ribosomal RNA
Source: RNAcentral
UACGUAGGGACCGAGCGUUGUCCGGAAUCAUUGGGCGUAAAGAGCGUGUAGGCGGCCACUUAAGUCCUGCGUGAAAUCUUGCGGCUCAACCGCAAGCGGUCGUGGGAAACUGGGUGGCUAGAGUGCGGGAGAGGAGAGUGGAAUUCCUGGUGUAGCGGUGAAAUGCGUAGAUAUCAGGAGGAACACCUGUGGCGAAAGCGGCUCACUGGACCAUAACUGACGCUGAGGAGCGAAAGCAUGGGGAGCGAACAGG